This 300-nucleotide ribosomal RNA is filed under the name uncultured bacterium. RNAcentral's name for it is "bacterial SSU rRNA". It matches the Rfam family "Bacterial small subunit ribosomal RNA", at positions 495 to 795 of the family's 1533-position model. The record is from RNAcentral.
GGGUAAUUACGUGCCAGCAGCCUGGGUAAUCCUGAGGUGGCGAGCGUUUUCCGGAUUGAGUGGGCGUAAAGAGCCCGCAGGCGGGUCAGCAAGUUUCAGGUGAAAUCUCCCGGCUCAACUGGGAGGGUGCCUGGAAAACUGCUGGACUUGAGGCAGGGAGAGGGAUGUGGAAUUCCCGGUGUAGUGGUGAAAUGCGUAGAUAUCGGGAGGAACACCAGUGGCGAAGGCGGCAUCCUGGCCCUGUCCAGACGCUCAGGGGCGAAAGCGUGGGGAGCAAACCGGAUUAGAUACCCAGUAGUC